RNAcentral lists this long non-coding RNA (1292 nucleotides) under Homo sapiens (human). RNAcentral describes it as "HSALNT0002434". The record is from RNAcentral. Lineage: Eukaryota; Metazoa; Chordata; Mammalia; Primates; Hominidae.
GUGCAAUUUUGGCUCUCUGCAACCUCCACCUCCCGGGUUCAAGCGAUUCUCCUGACUCAGACUCCCGAAUAGCUGGAAUUACAUGCGUGUGCUACCACGUCCGGCUAAUUUUUGUAUUUUUAGUAGAGACAGCAUUUUGCCAUAUUGCCCAGGCUGGUCUCGAACUCCUGGCCUCAAGUGAUCUGACCGCCUCGGCCUCCCAAAGUGCUGAGAUUACAGGCAUGAGCCACCAUGCCUGGCCUCAAUCUCAUUUUUCUAUCACUGAUCAGUAUUAAAAUUAUCAUGACUCUCUUGGUUUACUUUUUUUUUUUACUUGCGUGUUUUUUUUUCCCUUCCUCUAGAAUGUAAGCUCCAGGAGGGCAAGGACUUCAUCUUGUUCACUUGAAGCUGAAGCCCCAGCAUGUACAAUCCCGUGCUGAGUUGCUGGUUCAUCCCCAGCAUGUACAAUCCCGUGCUGAGUUGCUGGUUCAUCCCCAACAUGUACAAUUCCGUGCUGGGUCGCUGGUUCACCAGCAGAGAGGAGCAUUGAUUCUCUUUGGAAAAGAUAAUCUAUCUACACCCCUGGAACUGUGGCACAGUCUCACGGAGGGCCUGCUUCCAUUCGGGUCAACGGCGAAAAAACGAAUAAACGUGAGCCGCCAUCAGGUGAGGACAUGGAAGCACAGGGAGGUUAUGCCACUCGCCCAAAGACAACUAAUCAGUGACAGCUGAGACUUGGACUGCAGAACCUACACUUUAUAACUAUUUUACAGUUCUGGGCGUCACGGAAUCUUGCAUGAAGAGCCCCUAACCUGGCCCGGGUGGAGGUCAGGGAGGUCUUCCUGGAAGAGGGGGUUCUUGGCAGCAACUUGCUGGAUUUGGUGUUCCCUGUUGGUUGGUCAGUCGCUAGACAGUUAUUCACUGAGCUCUGAGAACAGGCUGGGCCCUGCUCCAGGCCUUGGUUGGACAGCAGGGAACAAGGCUGGGGGAAAUGACUCCCGAGAAAAUGGACAUGUGUGACCCUGGGUUCUGGGAAGGCAGGGAGGGAAGACAAGUACCAGAGGCACAGCGAGGGUCUCUCUGGAGCCACAGGGAGAGGGGAGGGAUGCACAGGCCUGGUGUGCUGCAGGGCCUGAGCCUGUGGCUGCUUCUGGCCAGGAAAGAAGCCAACGUUACUUAAAGAAGUUAUUCAUGUAACCAAAUACCACCUGUUCCCCAAAACCCUAUGGAAAUAAAAAAUUAAAAAAAAUAAAAAAGAGUAAGCAACAACAAAAUAAAUAAAUAAAUAAAUUUAAAAAAUAAUAAAAAAAGAA